Brassica rapa (field mustard) is the source of this 2362-nucleotide long non-coding RNA. RefSeq lists it as uncharacterized. NCBI's taxonomy places the organism in Eukaryota, Viridiplantae, Streptophyta, Magnoliopsida, Brassicales, Brassicaceae. The record is from RefSeq and is a predicted model, not a curated record.
UAAGUGAGUACUUGCAUUCUCAGUGCUUUGAUAUCCCUCAUAACUGGUUCGACAAUCUUCUAUACUACAACAUUUGUCUUAGGAGCCUUGAAAACUCCUAACAUCAAAUAUGCAAGAUAUCAAUGGAACAGAAAAACUAUAUGUUCAGACUAUUCUAUUUGAGAUGGAAUCUAUUGACAACUUAUUCUACUUGAGAUGGAAACUAGCUAUUUGUAACGUAUGCGCUACCAUUUUUCAUCAACAAUACUGUUUGUAAUAUAAAAUGUUAUUUUCUAUAUAAAAUAGAACGAAUUACUCUGUCAUAACCAUGUUUCCCUCUUACUUUGUUCUUUAGGUUUGGCAUGAACGAUUUAGGCCUUUCAAAAAGAUUGUUCGAGACAGGUUUUGAACCCACUGAAAAGACAGAUUAACAACUAUUUCAACCUCCGUUGGAUUGAGGUGAUCAAGAAUGCAUUAGAGGGUUCAAUCUAGUUCGUUAUUAUUUCAUGUUCUCUUGAUAUGAGUUUUGUAUCAGUGUAUAUAUAUAUUUUAUAUUAGUGUGUAUAAGAUUUUGCAUAGAUAAAUAAUAUAUUGAACUUAAAUGGAAUAAAAUUUAUUAUGACAUCAAAUAAAACAAAAUACAAUGUGAUGUUGAAUGAGAAUGAUAUUUAUAUGAUGUUGUCUCUUCCACCUAUUUUCUUUAAUGUCGUCAAUCUUCAUUUCUUUCGCUACAAUCAAUCUGAAUUUGGUGUAAGCAUUACUUCCUUCUCUGCAAUUAUAGACACUUCAACAUUUGAACAAUAUGUAUUGUAUUAUAUCGUUUGUCACAUUUCUAUUCUAUAUUCUCAUGUAGAAUUGGAAAUGCAUCUUACUGGUAUUUCGAAAUUUGGGUUUAGUUUAUGAAAGAUUGGGGUUGACAUUGAAUUAGGGUUUAUAUUUGGGUUAGGGUUUAGUGACUAGAGUUUAGGGUUUAGUAUUUAGUAGGUGAGGGAGUAUGGUUUGGGUCAGCAUUAAUUUUUUCAUGCAAUUAUAGACAUUUCAUAAUAUCUCCAACAUGUGCUAUGUCAUUUAUUUUGUUCCAUUCUAUUUGGGUUUAGGGUUUAUAUUUGGGUGAGGGUUUAGUGAUUAGAGUUUAACGUUUAGUAUUUAGAAGGCAAAAAGGUAUGGUUGGGAUCAUCAUUAACUUCUUUUAUGCAAUCAUAAACAUUUUAUAAUUUCACCAAUACAGACUAUGUUAUUUAUUUUGUUCCAUUCUAUUUGGAAUUCAUGUUUAUAUUUGGGAUUAUAGUUUAUAUUAGGGUUUAGAGCUUAUGGUUUAGGGUUUAGUGAUUAUAAUUUAGGGUUUAGUAUUUUGAAGGUGAGAAGGUAUAUGGUUGGGGACUUGGGGUCAUCAUUAAGUUCUUUCUUGCAAUUAUAGACAUUUCAUAAUUUCACCAAUAUAUACUAUGUUAUUUAUUUCGUUCUAUUCUAUUUGGGUUAAAGUUUAUAUUUGAAUUUAAAGUUUAUAUUUAGGUAAGGGUUUAGUUUCCAUGUUAUUUGGUUCACCUAUUCUAUUUCGUCAUCAUGAGUAGCAAUGUUAAGGAAUUGGUUUCUCCGUUACGUUCCCAUAAGUUGUAAUACGCGUACACUUAGUAUUACUUUAUUUUCCUUCGUAAUGUCACUAUCAUACGUGAUAAUUACAGCUGGCUUCUCCCUGCGUAUAUGUAUAUGCGUGUUUAUAUUUGACACAAAAGCACCACGUCGCCUAUUUUAACUAUUGUAACUGGUAACUUGUAACUUAAAAGGACAUAACCGGCUAAAAGGUGAGCAAAAAGACAGACACUGAAUUAUGUCAAAAUCAGUGUUAGUUACCUAAUUUGUCUCUGAAAAAUGGCUAUUACGCUAAUAAGCCCUUUAAACAAUUUCUCUUACAUUCUUUAGAUAUUUUUUUCUAAAUUCAUGAAACUCGAUUCUAAGUUUUACCAAUACCCGAUCAUAAGAGUUUUGUCAAAGUAUACAGUAUACUUUGGAUAAUAUUGUAUAUACACAUACCGAAGUACAUUGACCUUUUUUCAUUCUGAUAAACACAAUCAUUAUCCCUUUCUACUAUUUUUGGAGUAGAGACUAUAUUGAAAGGUGUUUAUAUACAUAUCUAGUUAAUGACACGGAUUCAAACCUGAAUUAUUGAUUUUGGAACAUUUAUAUAUUGUGGAUUAAAGAACAUGUGUUGACAAAAAAAAAAAGAACAUGUAGAUUUUUUUAAUUGAUCACAACAUAUUUAUAGAAGUUAACUAGCUACUCCUCUCAAAAUCACCGGCUAACCUUUCACGCCGACUUGAGGGAAAAAAAGACUCCAACUAUUACAAAUAUUCGUCUUCGAAAGAAAAAAAAAGAACAAAAAAAA